GUUGAUGUAGCUUAUACUAAAGCAGAGCACUGAAAAUGCUAAGAUGGACAUUAAGUCCCAUAAACA
Non-coding RNA from Meriones unguiculatus (Mongolian gerbil), 66 nucleotides. The record is from Ensembl. NCBI's taxonomy places the organism in Eukaryota, Metazoa, Chordata, Mammalia, Rodentia, Muridae.